This 433-nucleotide ribosomal RNA is filed under the name uncultured bacterium. Its description in RNAcentral is "partial 16S ribosomal RNA". It matches the Rfam family "Bacterial small subunit ribosomal RNA", at positions 29 to 507 of the family's 1533-position model. The record is from RNAcentral.
AACGAACGCUGGCGGCAUGCCUAACACAUGCAAGUCGAACGAGACCUUCGGGUCUAGUGGCGCACGGGUGCGUAACGCGUGGGAACCUGCCCUUAGGUUCGGAAUAACUCCCCGAAAGGGGUGCUCAUACCGGAUAAUGUCUUCGGACCUAAGAUUUAUGGCCUUUGGAUGGGCCCGCGUUGGUUUAGCGAGUUGGUAGGGUAAAAGCCUACCAAGGCGACGUUCCAUAGCUGGUCUGAGAGGAUGAUCAGCCACACUGGGACUGAGACACGGCCCAGACUGCGACGGGAGGGAGCAGUGGGGAGUAUUAGACAAUGGGCGAAAGCCUGAUACAGCAAUGCCGCGUGAGUGAUGAAGGCCUUAGGGUUGUAAAGCUCUUUUACCCGAGAUGAUAAUGACAGUACCGGGAGAAUAAGCUCCGGCUAACUCCGUG